RNAcentral lists this non-coding RNA (72 nucleotides) under Schmidingerella taraikaensis. Lineage: Eukaryota; Ciliophora; Spirotrichea; Tintinnida; Rhabdonellidae. The record is from RNAcentral.
AAAGUGGAUCGUGAGGGCAAGAUCAUCAAAGAGAAGCGCAACGAGGCAGGCAAGAAAAUCACCAAGAAAAAC